RNAcentral lists this ribosomal RNA (467 nucleotides) under uncultured bacterium. RNAcentral's name for it is "partial 16S ribosomal RNA". It matches the Rfam family "Bacterial small subunit ribosomal RNA", at positions 28 to 507 of the family's 1533-position model. The record is from RNAcentral.
GAUGAACGCUGGCGGCGUGCUUAACACAUGCAAGUCGAACGGAAAGGCCUCUGCUUGCAGGGGUACUCGAGUGGCGAACGGGUGAGUAACACGUGGGUGAUCUGCCCUGCACUUCGGGAUAAGCCUGGGAAACUGGGUCUAAUACCGGAUAGGACAAUGGUUUGGAUGCUGUUGUGGAAAGUUUUUCGGUGUGGGAUGAGCUCGCGGCCUAUCAGCUUGUUGGUGGGGUAAUGGCCUACCAAGGCGUCGACGGGUAGCCGGCCUGAGAGGGUGUACGGCCACAUUGGGACUGAGAUACGGCCCAGACUCCUACGGGAGGCAGCAGGGGGGAAGAUUGCACAAUGGGCGCAAGCCUGAUGCAGCGACGCCGCGUGGGGGAUGACGGCCUUCGGGUUGUAAACUCCUUUCGCUAGGGACGAAGCGUUUUUGUGACGGUACCUGGAGAAGAAGCACCGGCUAACUACGUG